This 248-nucleotide ribosomal RNA is filed under the name uncultured euryarchaeote. RNAcentral describes it as "partial 16S ribosomal RNA". It matches the Rfam family "Archaeal small subunit ribosomal RNA", at positions 478 to 726 of the family's 1478-position model. The record is from RNAcentral. Lineage: Archaea; Methanobacteriati; Methanobacteriota.
UGCAGCUCAAGUGGUGGCCACUAUUAUUGGGCCUAAAACGUCCGUAGCCGGUUCUAUAAAUGCCUGGGUAAAUCGUACGGCUUAACCGUACGAAUUCCGGGUAGACUGUUCAACUUGGGACCGGGAGAGGCUAGAGGUACUCCUGGGGUAGAGGUGAAAUUCUGUAAUCCUAGGGGGACCACCAGUGGCGAAGGCGUCUAGCUAGAACGGGUCUGACGGUGAGGGACGAAGCCCUGGGGAGCAAACGG